RNAcentral lists this ribosomal RNA (61 nucleotides) under Pseudomonadota bacterium. RNAcentral's name for it is "partial 16S ribosomal RNA". It matches the Rfam family "Bacterial small subunit ribosomal RNA", at positions 1 to 61 of the family's 1533-position model. Lineage: Bacteria; Pseudomonadati; Pseudomonadota. The record is from RNAcentral.
UAAGUGAAGAGUUUGAUCCUGGCUCAGAGUGAACGCUGGCGGCAGGCCUAACACAUGCAAG